UGGACCAAUGAUGAGAGUGUGUCAGGAUCCAAGGAAUUUGAUUAAUCCAAUCCUGUGCACCGUGAUUCAUA
RNAcentral lists this small nucleolar RNA (71 nucleotides) under Mustela putorius furo (domestic ferret). Its description in RNAcentral is "Small nucleolar RNA SNORD112 (ENSMPUG00000020361.1)". Lineage: Eukaryota; Metazoa; Chordata; Mammalia; Carnivora; Mustelidae. The record is from RNAcentral.